GUUGUGGGGCAGCGGCCUACCAAGCCGACGAUCAGUAGCCGACCUGAGAGGGUGACCGGCCACAUUGGGGCUGAGACGCGGCCCAAACUCCUACGGGAGGCGGCAGUGGGGAAUAUUGCACAAUGGGGGAAACCCUGAUGCAGCGACGCCGCGUGAAGGAAGAAGUAUUUCGGUAUGUAAACUUCUAUCAGCAGGGAAGAAACUGACGGUACCUGACUAAGAAGCACCGGCUAAAUAC
Molecule: ribosomal RNA, 238 nt
Filed under: uncultured bacterium
Lineage: Bacteria
Description: partial 16S ribosomal RNA
Rfam family: Bacterial small subunit ribosomal RNA
Source: RNAcentral